Molecule: small RNA, 1286 nt
Filed under: Vigna angularis var. angularis
Lineage: Eukaryota; Viridiplantae; Streptophyta; Magnoliopsida; Fabales; Fabaceae
Description: Non-protein coding transcript
Source: RNAcentral
AACAUUACUGUUAAUAUAAAUCAAUAUUUAUUUAAUCUAUAAAGUAGAUUGUUAAUACAUUAAUAGUUUGCAUUGUAUAAAUAAAGAAAAUUAAGCUAAGAUGAGACUUUUCAUGAUAUAAUCCGAACUUAUGAUAUAUGUGUAUCAAGUGUAAGGUUUAAAUCCAAAUCUGUAAAAAGUAGCAGGCGAUGCAUGUUGAGUUAAUUUUCAUCACAUUGGUUGUUUAACAAUUAGCACAAUUUUCAAUCCACCCUUUCACUGCCCCUCGCCGUCACGCGUCUUCGCAAUCCAAGGUCGCUCCUGUUCCGUACGCCGGAGCUCAUGCUUCGACACUCCCUCAAGGGCGACGAGCUUGUAAGGAUUGAACCGCCGAGUGCGGCGAUCUUGUCCACCGUCAAUCAACGCGCACCACUUCUCCCUUUUUCGAUUGUUCCUUCUUUUAUUUGCAAAAGGGGUUGUUAUAAAUGUAGUUUGAGAUGAUGGAGGUUGAAGGAGAUGAUGGGCGCUUGCAAUUACCGCAAUCGUGAUUCGGAUGAUAGGAUUAGGGUUCAUUCGCGAUUAGGGUUUGAGUGGAACAGAUGAUGGUGCAGUGGUUGCUGGUGUAGGGAUUGAGGUUCUCGGACGACCGAAUCGGAGAGAGGCAAGGUUGGGGGAAGAGAUUGAGAUGGCGCCCCCAGACAGCCUUGAAGAUCGAAUUACCGGUGUGUUGGAGUCAUGGAAUUUGGGAAUGUUGAGUUGACGAAGGAGUCCCAAAAUGAUUAACCUAUCUUUUGGUGAAAGAAUGGUCUUGGGAUGAAAUGAGGAACAUGACUUGAUAUCUUCUGGGUGGAGAAUUUGGAACCGUGGAAGACCGAAUUCGAGUCUCUAUUAGUACUGAGAAGGAUUAAGAAGAGACUUAAAGGAUUAUGCAACAAGCUCUAGGGAAAGAGCUGAGGAGUUCGACAUCUCUUUGUCAAAAUGGGAAUGAUGAACCAGGUCUCUCCCACUCACUGGGUUAUUUAGGAGAAGAGUGAAUCUGGGUUUCUAGUGUCACGCUGCUCUAUCUUUGCCGGAGGCUGCAGAUUUCGUUGUUACUCAGGUUGAUCGAAAAUUUUAGUUUGCUAGGGAGAAAACCUAUUUUGGAUUCUAUUUUGUAUGAAAGAAUUGAAUCAUGAGUUUCAUCUAUGUUGUAAAUGUUUUAACUUUGCGUAAGAUGUUGUUAAAUAAUGUUCUGUCUUGAUGAUCUUACAAGGGAGAUUAUGAUUGAGGUUUACUGAUGAAUGAAAUAAAACUUAUUCAAGCCAAAG